Molecule: ribosomal RNA, 450 nt
Filed under: uncultured bacterium
Lineage: Bacteria
Description: partial 16S ribosomal RNA
Rfam family: Bacterial small subunit ribosomal RNA
Source: RNAcentral
AAUGAACGCUGGCGGCAGGCCUAACACAUGCAAGUCGAACGGAUCCUUCGGGAUUAGUGGCGGACGGGUGAGUAACGCGUGGGAACAUACCCAAAGGUACGGAAUAGCCUCGGGAAACUGGGAGUAAUACCGUAUGUGCUCGAAAGAGGAAAGAUUUAUCGCCUUUGGAUUGGCCCGCGUUGGAUUAGGUAGUUGGUGGGGUAAUGGCCUACCAAGCCGACGAUCCAUAGCUGGUUUGAGAGGAUGAUCAGCCACACUGGGACUGAGACCCGGCCCAGACUCCUACUGGAGGCAGGAGUGGGGAAUCUGAGACAAUAGGGGAAACCCUGAUCUAGCCAUACCGCGUGAUCGAUGAAGGCCUUAGGGUUGUAAAGAUCUUUCAGGUGGGAAGAUAAUGACGGUACCACCAGAAGAAGCCCCGGCUAACUCCGCGCCAGCAGCCGCCAGUAA